GAACGCUGGCGGCGCGUCUUAAGCAUGCAAGUCGGACGGCAAGAAGAGAGCUUGCUCUCUUCCUAAGGAGUGGCGGACUGGUCGAGUAACACGUGGGUGACGUACCCUUUAGCUGGGGAUAGCCGGUAGAAAUACCGGGUAAUACCGAAUAAUCUUGCUUCUUUGAAGUGAAGUAAGGAAAGGAGCUUUGGCUUCACUGAAGGAACGGCCCGCGCACUAUUAGCUAGUUGGUGAGGUAACGGCCACCAAGGCAACGAUAGUUAUCCGGCCUAAGAGGGGUGAACGGACACAUUGGGACUGAGAUACGGCCCAGACUCCUACGGGAGGCAGCAGCUAAGAAUAUUCCGCAAUGGAGGAAACUCUGACGGAGCGACGCCGCGUGGAUGAUGAAGGUCGGAAGAUUGUAAAAAUCCUUUUUAAGUAUGAUGAAUAACCUGAUCAGGAAAUGGGACAGGGAUGACCGUAAUACUUGAAUAAGCAACGGCUAAUUACGUG
RNAcentral lists this ribosomal RNA (495 nucleotides) under uncultured bacterium. Its description in RNAcentral is "bacterial SSU rRNA". It matches the Rfam family "Bacterial small subunit ribosomal RNA", at positions 31 to 507 of the family's 1533-position model. The record is from RNAcentral.